RNAcentral lists this ribosomal RNA (1427 nucleotides) under Leuconostoc holzapfelii. Its description in RNAcentral is "bacterial SSU rRNA". It matches the Rfam family "Bacterial small subunit ribosomal RNA". The record is from RNAcentral. Lineage: Bacteria; Bacillati; Bacillota; Bacilli; Lactobacillales; Lactobacillaceae.
GCAAGUCGAACGCGCAGCGAAAGGUGCUUGCACCUUUCAAGCGAGUGGCGAACGGGUGAGUAACACGUGGAUAACCUGCCUCAAGGCUGGGGAUAACAUUUGGAAACAGAUGCUAAUACCGAAUAAAACUUAGUAUCGCAUGAUACAAAGUUAAAAGGCGCUACGGCGUCACCUAGAGAUGGAUCCGCGGUGCAUUAGUUAGUUGGUGGGGUAAAGGCUUACCAAGACAAUGAUGCAUAGCCGAGUUGAGAGACUGAUCGGCCACAUUGGGACUGAGACACGGCCCAAACUCCUACGGGAGGCUGCAGUAGGGAAUCUUCCACAAUGGGCGCAAGCCUGAUGGAGCAACGCCGCGUGUGUGAUGAAGGCUUUCGGGUCGUAAAGCACUGUUGUAUGGGAAGAAAUGCUAAAAUAGGGAAUGAUUUUAGUUUGACGGUACCAUACCAGAAAGGGACGGCUAAAUACGUGCCAGCAGCCGCGGUAAUACGUAUGUCCCGAGCGUUAUCCGGAUUUAUUGGGCGUAAAGCGAGCGCAGACGGUUGAUUAAGUCUGAUGUGAAAGCCCGGAGCUCAACUCCGGAAUGGCAUUGGAAACUGGUUAACUUGAGUGUUGUAGAGGUAAGUGGAACUCCAUGUGUAGCGGUGGAAUGCGUAGAUAUAUGGAAGAACACCAGUGGCGAAGGCGGCUUACUGGACAACAACUGACGUUGAGGCUCGAAAGUGUGGGUAGCAAACAGGAUUAGAUACCCUGGUAGUCCACACCGUAAACGAUGAAUACUAGGUGUUAGGAGGUUUCCGCCUCUUAGUGCCGAAGCUAACGCAUUAAGUAUUCCGCCUGGGGAGUACGACCGCAAGGUUGAAACUCAAAGGAAUUGACGGGGACCCGCACAAGCGGUGGAGCAUGUGGUUUAAUUCGAAGCAACGCGAAGAACCUUACCAGGUCUUGACAUCCUUUGAAGCUUUUAGAGAUAGAAGUGUUCUCUUCGGAGACAAAGUGACAGGUGGUGCAUGGUCGUCGUCAGCUCGUGUCGUGAGAUGUUGGGUUAAGUCCCGCAACGAGCGCAACCCUUAUUGUUAGUUGCCAGCAUUCAGUUGGGCACUCUAGCGAGACUGCCGGUGACAAACCGGAGGAAGGCGGGGACGACGUCAGAUCAUCAUGCCCCUUAUGACCUGGGCUACACACGUGCUACAAUGGCGUAUACAACGAGUUGCCAACCUGCGAAGGUGAGCUAAUCUCUUAAAGUACGUCUCAGUUCGGACUGCAGUCUGCAACUCGACUGCACGAAGUCGGAAUCGCUAGUAAUCGCGGAUCAGCACGCCGCGGUGAAUACGUUCCCGGGUCUUGUACACACCGCCCGUCACACCAUGGGAGUUUGUAAUGCCCAAAGCCGGUGGCCUAACCUUCGGGAGGGAGCCGUCUAAGGCAGG